CGUCGGCGCCCAUGGGUACUCUCCCUUUUCGAAACGUUUUGAAAGACAAUGCAACCGUCCCAAUGGAAUAUUAUUGAAGCCCUGCUUGAAAAAGCCCCUAAAGAUUUAUGUUAUACAACGUUUGACAUGUUUGAACGAACUUAAAUAUAUUUUUUUUGCUCAGACGCAACCGGUACAUUUUCACUAGCCUUCGGAGCGCGCUAACACUAUUGGGACAUAAAUUAUUAACUUUUUUGAACAAAACUACAUUUGUUAUGGACCUGGGAUUCCUAGAAGUGCCUUCUGAUAAAGAUAAUCAAAGGAGUGUCAUCUGAUGAAGGUUGUCAAAAGGUGGGCUGUGGAACUGUAGAGCUGCACAUUAACAAACCUGUCACCCUGUCCAUUCCUCUGUCCCCAGGUGAGUCUGCUGAGCUAUUUAACUGUAGAGCUGCACAUUAACAAACCUGUCACCCUGUUGUCAGCAACCAGCAGACAGUUCCCUGAGGAAGGAUGCAAUGGUCAAGGCUGUCAAUGACCAGAUUAUGGGGAUGACUAAACGCAAUAAAGGAGUGUAAAAUGUUAUAAAACAAUAACUUUUUCAUUGCCUGUUGGUCUUCACAUUUUCACUAUGGUAACUUAAACAUGCAGACUUAAAUCAAAGACAACACAGAGGUUAUGAUUCAAAAGUUUUUUUUAAAUUAAAAAGUAUCAUGUCCAGGGUGAAUAAAUGUUUUAUUUAUGUAUAUCAGACAUC
RNAcentral lists this long non-coding RNA (733 nucleotides) under Salmo salar (Atlantic salmon). RNAcentral's name for it is "lncRNA (ENSSSAG00000121507.1)". The record is from RNAcentral. Lineage: Eukaryota; Metazoa; Chordata; Actinopteri; Salmoniformes; Salmonidae.